Contarinia nasturtii (swede midge) is the source of this 1697-nucleotide RNA transcript. It is a transcript of the gene named zinc finger protein Xfin-like, with no coding region annotated. Lineage: Eukaryota; Metazoa; Arthropoda; Insecta; Diptera; Cecidomyiidae. The record is from RefSeq and is a predicted model, not a curated record. The transcript has 5 exons.
AUAAAUAUAAACAAUAAUCACAUUUCACCUUCAUCUCUGAUAUUCGAAAUAAAGUUGAUGAAAAAAUCGCAACAAAAAUGGAAAAUGUGUGCCGAUUGUGUGGAUGUAAAAAAACUGGAAGGCAAUUAAUGCACAGCAUUGACGAUCAAUCAAUCGAACAGAAGCUAAUCGAUUGCUGUCGUUGGAAAUCAAAAUGUGAAACGUACAAUUUACCGCGAAAAAUUUGCAAUUCAUGCUCAAAAAAUUUGGAAAAAUGUUGGGAAUUUGCCGAGAAAGUCGCACAAACACAACAAAAUUUAUUGGCACAAAUAGCCAACACAAAACCAACGACACUUUCAUCGUACACAAAAUAUGAUUUUGAUCAAAAGGAAAUGAAAAAAGAGACUAUAGAGAAUAUGGAUGAUUUCGAACAAAAUCUUAGCGUAAAUGAUGUAGAACUUAAUGAAUUGAAAGAAGAUCUCAAAAUAUCGUACACAGAAAAUGUAGAUGAUUUUGAACAAAAUCUCAGUGUAAAUGACAUUAAAGACAUUGUCGAUGUGGCCAUGAGUCCGACCGUUCCAUUUGAUUACGAUGAUGAUUUUCAUGGAACAAUGUCCGAGGAAAAUUAUUCCGAACCGUCAACAAUUGAAGAUGCAAAGCCGAGCUUAAGUGAUAUUCAAUCGAUGGACGAAACCCCAAAUAAAAAGCACAAAUUCGAUAUCAGAUUAUUGUCGGUUGCAGACAAAAACGAUGAUGGAACAGUGAAGAGAGCGAAAAUUUUAGAAUUAGGUUUGCACGAUUGGUCAGAGAUAAAAUUGCGAUGCUGCAUGUGCCCGGAAACGUUUGAAACAUAUUAUACAUUGAGGCUGCAUUACGACCAAAAUCACAAUCCUCAAAGUAAACUUCGAGUUCUUUGCCAAUUUUGUGAUGCACCUUUUGUUGGACGAUCGGUUCUUAUGCAUGUUAGACGUGUUCAUUUACCUUAUCUGGAAUAUUGCUGUAGAAGAUGCAACAUGUUCUAUUGGGAUUUGGAUGCAUUAAAAAAACAUCAAAAUGGCAAGCAUACGAAGCCAAAGCCAGAAAAUAGGAUAAGCCACUUAUGUGAGAUGUGUGGAAAGAGCUGUGGUGGCAGAGCGGAAUUGCGACAACAUAAACGAUCACAUCUACCAAUUGAACAACGACGAACAUUCGAGUGUUAUGUUUGCAAAUCAAAAUAUACAUACAGAAAAAGCUUGAUACGUCACAUGGAACCGGCACAUUUCCAUCGGUCCGUUAAACAAUUUCAAUGUGAAGUGUGUGCAUUUCAGUUCAAAAGAGCCUAUGCACUGCGACGACAUUUAAUGAUCCAUUCCGGUGAACAUCCAUAUACGUGCCAUUGUGGCAAAAGUUUUCGCACAAAUUACCAUUUAAAAGUUCAUGAAAGAACACACACGGGUGAAAAGCCUUAUGCUUGUUCAUUUUGUGAAUAUCGCUGUUCAGCAGGGGAAAAUAUGACGAAACACAUCAAACAACGACAUAAAAAUCAUUUACAGAAGAAAUAACACACUUUUUUGGCGUUCGAAUCUCACUAUGUUUCACCUCAACAUAUGACAACGGCAUAAUUUUUAUGUAUUUAGUUUAGCAUUCUUUCGCCAUCUAUUGGAUUCUACAAUCCAUAUAAAUUGAAGCAUAUGAUGGGCUAUGUUUGACAGUAUCUUCUAGAAAUUGGUUGUCAAACA